Molecule: ribosomal RNA, 427 nt
Filed under: uncultured Acidobacteriota bacterium
Lineage: Bacteria; Pseudomonadati; Acidobacteriota
Description: bacterial SSU rRNA
Rfam family: Bacterial small subunit ribosomal RNA
Source: RNAcentral
AACGCGAAGAACCUUACCUGGGCUUGAACCGCUACUGACCAAGGGUAGAAAUAUCCUCUUCCCGCAAGGGACAGUAGUAGAGGUGCUGCAUGGCUGUCGUCAGCUCGUGCCGUGAGGUGUUGGGUUAAGUCCCGCAACGAGCGCAACCCUUACUCGUAGUUGCUACCCGCAAGGGAGAACUCUACGAGGACUGCUCCGGAUAACGGAGAGGAAGGUGGGGAUGACGUCAAGUCAGCACGGCCUUUAUGUCCAGGGCUACACACGUGUUACAAUGCAUGGUACAGACUGUUGCGAACCCGCGAGGGGGAGCUAAUCGGCCAAAGCCAUGCUCAGUUCGGAUUGCAGUCUGCAACUCGACUGCAUGAAGCUGGAAUCGCUAGUAAUGGCGUAUCAGAUCGACGCCGUGAAUACGUUCCCGGGCCUUGUA